GAACGAAGCACUUGUGCUUAGUGGCGAAUGGGUGAGUAACACGUACUUAAUUACCUCUAGGUUUGGGACAACAUUUGGAAACGAAUGCUAAUACCGAAUAUUCCUUUUCCUCGCAUGGGGAACUGGUAAAAGGCCCGUUUGGGUCGCCAAGAGAUGAGAGUGCGGUACAUUAGUUAGUUGGUAGGGUAAUGGCCUACCAAGACGAUGAUGUAUAGCGGGGUUGAGAAGCUGAACCGCCACACUGGGACUGAGAUACGGCCCAGACUCCUACGGGAGGCAGCAGUAGGGAAUAUUCCACAAUGAGCGAAAGCUUGAUGGAGCGACACAGCGUGCAGGAUGAAGGUCUUCGGAUCGUAAACUGCUGUUAUAAGGGAAGAAAAACCGGUGUAGGAAAUGACAUCGGCUUGACGGUACCUUAUCAGAAAGCACCGGCAAACUAUGUGCCAGCAGCCGCG
RNAcentral lists this ribosomal RNA (455 nucleotides) under uncultured Mycoplasma sp. Its description in RNAcentral is "bacterial SSU rRNA". It matches the Rfam family "Bacterial small subunit ribosomal RNA", at positions 64 to 519 of the family's 1533-position model. The record is from RNAcentral. Lineage: Bacteria; Bacillati; Mycoplasmatota; Mollicutes; Mycoplasmatales; Mycoplasmataceae.